UCCCAGUGAUGAAAACCCACCACGUCUUACUGCCUGCUUGGUGCCAGAAACUGCAAAGUUUGAACCCACUGGUACCAGCAGGUGGAAAAGAGGAUGGAUUGCUUCAGAAGAAGCUGUCUGAUGGGAC
Molecule: small nucleolar RNA, 127 nt
Organism: Thamnophis elegans (Western terrestrial garter snake)
Lineage: Eukaryota; Metazoa; Chordata; Lepidosauria; Squamata; Natricidae
Product: small nucleolar RNA SNORD22
Exons: 1
Source: RefSeq, a predicted model, not a curated record